GAUUUCACCGAAUGAGCGCAUAUAACCCAUCUUACACGCUGUAAACCCAUAAUCGAAUUGUGAAAAAUUCGAUUGAAGAAAAAGGAUAAACAAGAAAAGUUAGUUAAUCAAACGACAAUGAACAAAAGGAACAUGGAUCUUAUUCUCAUUGAAGCCCUUCUAUCAGUACCUGGAUAAAGCAUGCUGAUCACAAAUAUUGAUUAAAAUAGGAUAGAGGAAAUCAAUUCGCGAGAAUUGAAGUUUAAAGAUUUCGUCAACUGACAUAAAAAGCAGGACUUUCUCGAUUCUAUGAAGAGGGGAACUUUGGAGGAAAAUGACGCUGAAUGAUGUGGACACUUCAAAAAAUUGCCCAACUUCACUGGACACAUUCUCUUUUUGUUUUAACAAAACGGGGUAAAAGAGACAUCCAUUUUAUUAAAAAUUGUUUUAUGUUAUCAAAAGUUCAAUUAUUUAUAUCACAAAAUAUGAUUGAUGUAGUUUAAAGGACUGCAUUUUUUUUAACAAAAUGUCUUCUAAAUGUAAAUUAAAAUUUAAGUAUAACUGCCUAUGUAAAAAAAGAAUUACAGCUAAUUAUGAAUAUUGUAUAAAAUGUACUAUGAAUUAAAGUGAAAUAAAAAACGAUUUUUUAUGAAAAUCAAAUUUUUAAAUUUUUGGUAAAAAAACUGGAUUUCCAGUUGGCAUAGCUAAAUUUUAGUAAUCCAAGAAUUUAUGACAAAUAGUUAUGUGUACGAAAAUUUAUGUUGGCAUUCCUAAACUUUAGUAGUAUACAGACGUAAAACAUUUUAAUAGUCAUAACUAAAUAUUCUGUUGAGAGAACUAAAAUUUUUCGUUUUGGGCAAUUACUAAAAAUUUUAGUAAAAAUUCUUUACUAAAUUUCUUU
Lutzomyia longipalpis is the source of this 880-nucleotide long non-coding RNA. RefSeq lists it as uncharacterized. The transcript is spliced from 3 exons. NCBI's taxonomy places the organism in Eukaryota, Metazoa, Arthropoda, Insecta, Diptera, Psychodidae. The record is from RefSeq and is a predicted model, not a curated record.